This 584-nucleotide ribosomal RNA is filed under the name uncultured bacterium. RNAcentral's name for it is "partial 16S ribosomal RNA". It matches the Rfam family "Bacterial small subunit ribosomal RNA", at positions 355 to 1375 of the family's 1533-position model. The record is from RNAcentral.
UGGGGAAUUUUGGACAAUGGGCGAAAGCCUGAUCCAGCAAUGCCGCGUGUGUGAAGAAGGCCUUCGGGUUGUAAAGCACUUUUGUCCGGAAAGAAAUCCUUGGCUCUAAUACAGUCGGGGGAUGACGGUACCGGAAGAAUAAGCACCGGCUAACUACGUGCCAGCAGCCGCGGUAAUACGUAGGGUGCAAGCGUUAAUCGGAAUUACUGGGCGUAAAGCGUGCGCAGGCGGUUUGCUAAGACCGAUGUGAAAUCCCCGGGCUCAACCUGGGAACUGCAUUGGUGACUGGCAGGCUAGAGUAUGGCAGAGGGGGGUAGAAUUCCACGUGUAGCAGUGAAAUGCGUAGAGAUGUGGAGGAAUACCGAUGGCGAAGGCAGCCCCCUGGGCCAAUACUGACGCUCAUGCACGAAAGCGUGGGGAGCAAACAGGAUUAGAUACCCUGGUAGUCCACGCCUUAAACGAUGUCAACUAGUUGUUGGGGAUUCAUUUCCUUAGUAACGUAGCUAACGCGUGAAGUUGACCGCCUGGGGAGUACGGUCGCAAGAUUAAAACUUAAUGAAUUGACGGGGUCAUAGCUGUUUCCU